Long non-coding RNA from Biomphalaria glabrata, 541 nucleotides. RefSeq lists it as uncharacterized. The transcript has 3 exons. The record is from RefSeq and is a predicted model, not a curated record. Lineage: Eukaryota; Metazoa; Mollusca; Gastropoda; Planorbidae.
UGAUUUUGUUGCUAGCGAUUUAAUUUUUUUGAUCAUAUCGAGUCUUCUAUAGGCUGGUUCACCAUAGCCUUGUAGCUAAGGACAAGUCAGUGCUUUUCCAUCCAAUCAUAAUUACAGAAGCAUCGGUAUUAGAUCUCAUGUUUCAACAAGAUUUCAAUACAUAAACUACAAGAUGGCAAAACUAGGUAUAGCUGGAUUUAUGAUAAGGUGUCAGAUCUUCACAAGCUAAAGUAUUCAGGUUUCUACAAAAUGUCGCCUCGUUUAAUCUUCAAAGACUCAUUUUCAUUUGGAACAUCACCACGCCCACGUUCAACAACAAACAAACAAAGUGAUGAGACAUUUAGCUGGAGUCAUACAAACAAGGUGAUGAGACAUUUAGCUGGAGUCAUACAAACAAAGUGAUGAGACAUUUAGCUGGAGUCAUACAAACCAAUGACAAAUAUACAUUGUCUACAUUAGAUUUAAAGUCUUGACUUGCAGCAAGCAAAUGUUAUGUUAAACCACUUACACCAAUUCUAUGUCUGUUUCUAUAGUGAGAAUA